GUGCACUUGUUAGAGAAAUUGUACCAGUAACGAUAAAAGAUUGGAGGAAGAUUCCUCUUGGAAUGAAAGAGGUCUUAUGGAAAUCUAUUCAGGCAAGAUAUAAGGUUGACAAAGAUUGGCAAAAGAGCUAUAUAUUCAAAAGUAUGGCAGAUCUUUGGAGAGCUUCAAAAUCAAGGCUAGUUACUAAAAUAAUAAAGGCACCAAAUGAAGAAGCAAGAUUGAAACUAAAGCUUGAUAAUAUUAAAUCCAUGAAUGAGUGGAAAAGUUUUGUUAAGGAAAAAAAAUAGUGCUGAGUUUAAGGCUACAAGUGAGAAAUACAGAAAAAUACGGACAAAGCAACUACCCCACACUUGUAGUCAUAAAGGUUAUGCAAGAUUGAUUGAUGAAUUGGUAAA
Humulus lupulus (European hop) is the source of this 395-nucleotide long non-coding RNA. RefSeq lists it as uncharacterized. The record is from RefSeq and is a predicted model, not a curated record. NCBI's taxonomy places the organism in Eukaryota, Viridiplantae, Streptophyta, Magnoliopsida, Rosales, Cannabaceae. The transcript has 3 exons.